This 502-nucleotide ribosomal RNA is filed under the name uncultured bacterium. RNAcentral describes it as "bacterial SSU rRNA". It matches the Rfam family "Bacterial small subunit ribosomal RNA", at positions 28 to 537 of the family's 1533-position model. The record is from RNAcentral.
GAUGAACGCUGGCGGCGUGCUUAACACAUGCAAGUCGAACGAAGCAGAUGAGAAAGCUUGCUUUUUUAUUUCGCUUAGUGGCGGACGGGUGAGUAACGCGUGAGUAACCUGCCCUUCAGUGGGGAAUAACAUCGAGAAAUCGGUGCUAAUACCGCAUAACGUAUUUAUGUCGCAUGACAUUUAUACCAAAGGAUUUAUUCGCUGAAGGAUGGACUCGCGUCCGAUUAGAUAGUUGGUGAGAUAAUGGCCCACCAAGUCAACGAUCGGUAGCCGAACUGAGAGGUUGAUCGGCCACAUUGGGACUGAGACACGGCCCAGACUCCUACGGGAGGCAGCAGUGGGGAAUAUUGGGCAAUGGGCGAAAGGCCUGACCCAGCAACGCCGCGUGAAGGAUGAAGGUCUUCGGAUUGUAAACUUCUUUGAUUAGGGAAGAAUUUUUGACCUACCUAAGAACAAGUCACGGCUAACUACGUGCCAGCAGCCGCGGUAAUCUAGUCUACGC